UGGGCUAUUGCCAAGCGGUUAAGGCAUGGGAUUUUGAUUCCCAGAUUCGCAGGUUCGAAUCCUGCUAGCCCAG
RNAcentral lists this transfer RNA (73 nucleotides) under Shuttleworthella satelles. RNAcentral's name for it is "tRNA-Gln(ttg)". It matches the Rfam family "tRNA". From Rfam's summary of the family: Transfer RNA (tRNA) molecules are approximately 80 nucleotides in length. Their secondary structure includes four short double-helical elements and three loops (D, anti-codon, and T loops). The record is from RNAcentral. RNAcentral also lists the same sequence under 2 other names. Lineage: Bacteria; Bacillati; Bacillota; Clostridia; Lachnospirales; Lachnospiraceae.